GAUGAACGCUGGCGGCGUGCCUAAUACAUGCAAGUCGAGCGAACAGAUGAGGCUUUUGCUCCUCUGACGUUAGCGGCGGGCGGGUGAGUAACACGUGGAUAACCUACCUAUAGGACUGGGAUAACUUCGGGAAACCGGAUCUAAUACCGGAUAAUAUAUUGAACCGCAGGGUUCAUUGGAAAAAGACGGUUUUGCUGUCACUUAUAGAGGGUUCCGAGCCGGAUUAGCUAGUUGGUAAGUUAACGGCUUACCAAGGCAAGGAUGCGUAGCCGACCUGACAGGGUGAUCGGCCACCCUGGAACUGAGACACGGUCCAGACUCCUACGGGAGGGCGCAGUAGGGAAUCUUCCGCAAUAGGCGGAAGCCUUACGGAGCAACGCCGCGUGAGUGAUGGAGGUCCUCGGAUCGUAAAACCCUGUUAUUAGGGAAGAACAAAUGUGUAAGUAACUAUGCACGGCUUGACGGUAACUAAUAAGAAAGCCACGGCUAACUACGUG
RNAcentral lists this ribosomal RNA (497 nucleotides) under uncultured bacterium. RNAcentral describes it as "partial 16S ribosomal RNA". It matches the Rfam family "Bacterial small subunit ribosomal RNA", at positions 28 to 507 of the family's 1533-position model. The record is from RNAcentral.